This 898-nucleotide ribosomal RNA is filed under the name Acidobacteria bacterium enrichment culture clone CTBE CDB1001H06. Its description in RNAcentral is "bacterial SSU rRNA". It matches the Rfam family "Bacterial small subunit ribosomal RNA", at positions 42 to 946 of the family's 1533-position model. The record is from RNAcentral. Lineage: Bacteria; Pseudomonadati; Acidobacteriota.
GGAUGCUUACACUGCAAGUCGAGUGCGCGUCUGUAGCCUACAGAUGGCGCACGGCGCACGGGUGCGUAACACGUGGGUAAUCUGCCCUUCGAAGGGGAAUAACUCGCCGAAAGGCGAGCUAAUUCCGCAUAACAUUCCGAGAACCUUGGUUUUUGGAUUCAAAGGCGUAAGUCGUCGGAGGAGGAGCCCGCGCACGAUUAGCUAGUUGGUAGGGUAACGGCCUACCAAGGCUAUGAUCGUUAGCUGGUCUGAGAGGAUGGCCAGCCACACUGGAACUGAGACACGGUCCAGACUCCUACGGGAGGCAGCAGUGGGGAAUCUUGCACAAUGGGCGAAAGCCUGAUGCAGCGACGCCGCGUGGGGGAUGAAGCUUCUCGGAGUGUAAACCCCUUUCGACCCGGACGAAUGCCCCGCAAGGGGACUGACGGUACGGGUAUAAGAAGCCCCGGCUAACUACGUGCCAGCAGCCGCGGUAAGACGUAGGGGGCCAGCGUUGCUCGGAAUUACUGGGUGUAAAGGGUUCGUAAGCGGUGUGGCAAGUCGGGAGUGAAAUCUCUAGGCUCAACCUAAAGUCUGCUUCCGAAACUGCUGUGCUUGAGUGUGGGAGAGGCGCGUGGAAUUGCAGGUGUAGCGGUGAAAUGCGUAAAUAUCUGCAGGAACACCCGUGGCGAAGGCGGCGCGCUGGAACACUACGGAAGCUGAGGAACGAAAGCUAGGGGAACCAAACGGGAUUAAUUCCCUGGGAGUCCUAGCCCUAAACGAUCAGGACUUGGGGUGCCACCCGUUCCGGGUGCCUCCCGGAACCAACGCCUUAAGUCCGGGGCCUGGGGGAUAAGGUCCGCAAACCGGAACUCAAGGGAUCUGGCGGGGGCCCCCCAAAACGGGGGAAAUUGGGGUC